This 561-nucleotide long non-coding RNA is filed under the name Homo sapiens (human). Its description in RNAcentral is "non-protein coding lnc-INCENP-1:1". Lineage: Eukaryota; Metazoa; Chordata; Mammalia; Primates; Hominidae. The record is from RNAcentral.
GCUGCAGUGAGUGGUUCCACUGCCUGGAUAACCCUUGAGGAACACGUCAGUUACUGUCACGAUGGGGCAGGCUCCACCCGUGCUGCUCAGGUGCAAAUGGACUUGAGAGCAUCUAUGUGCUGGUGAAGCAUGAGGUCUGAGUAGAAAAGGGGUAUCCCUUGAGACCACCUUGGGACCAGUGCUUGCAAGCAGCGAGAUAUUUCCCCAGCAAAACCAGGCAGCUGCUAAUUAAAUGCUUAGAACCAAUGAAAGCUGGCUGUGGUCCUGCCUGUGAGCUGCCUACUGCUGCCUUCUGAAUGCAUAUAUCUGCUACUGUAGCCCCGGGUUGUCAAACUAUGGCCUGUGGGCCAAAUCCAGCCACAGUCGGUUCUUUAAAGUUUUAUCGAAACACAAGCAAUGGAAAUGCCCAUUUCCAUUGUUGUCUCCAGUUGCUCUGCUCCGAGGGCAGUGUUAAGUUGUGCAGCAGAGGCCCCUCCAUGCAAAGCUGAAUAUGUUUACUAUUUGAACUUUUUCAGAAGUUCUGCUUAAGGACAAAAUAAAGCCUAAAUCCAAGAACACUUU